CACAAAGGCGGAAUCGAAAGUGAAGGGCUGCGGUCGCAGCUUGGAGGUGGGAUCCCUGGUCUUGGGCCAGGGCGCACCACCGGCCCGUCUCGGCCGGCCUUUGGUCCGGGAGGCGGCGCAAGAGCGUACACGUUGGGACCCGAAAGAUGGUGAACUAUGCCUGAGCAGGUUGAAGCCAGAGGAAACUCUGGUGGAGGACCGUAGCGAUUCUGACGUGCAAAUCGAUCGUCAAACUUGGGUAUAGGGGCGAAAGACUAAUCGAACCGUCUAGUAGCUAUUUCCUUCCAA
Molecule: ribosomal RNA, 288 nt
Filed under: Phascolosoma sp. AP0001
Lineage: Eukaryota; Metazoa; Annelida; Sipuncula; Phascolosomatiformes; Phascolosomatidae
Description: partial 28S ribosomal RNA
Rfam family: Eukaryotic large subunit ribosomal RNA
Source: RNAcentral